This is a non-coding RNA of Pelobates cultripes (western spadefoot toad), 306 nucleotides long. The record is from the annotation of a GenBank genome assembly. NCBI's taxonomy places the organism in Eukaryota, Metazoa, Chordata, Amphibia, Anura, Pelobatidae.
UUCAUCUGUAAUUUCAACCAAGAAAGCCAUAAAAUCAAACAAAUAAUAAAUAAACAUUGGCCUAUGCUAAGGAACGAUCCUAUGCUACAUUCCAUAUUACCAGAGAGACCGAAAUUAAUAUAUAGAGGAGCCCCCAAUCUAAAACAAAAACUAACACACAACCAUAUAAAAGAAAAUACAUCUACCCCCUUCUUCCAGAAAGAAGGUUUUUUCGGCUGUGGACAGUGUCUAGCCUGCAGAAACACAAAAAGUACAAAAAGGCACAUUACAGAAUUCUAUGACCCAAAAGGGGAAAAGAAAUAUAAA